RNAcentral lists this transfer RNA (72 nucleotides) under Ipomoea nil (Japanese morning glory). It matches the Rfam family "tRNA". From Rfam's summary of the family: Transfer RNA (tRNA) molecules are approximately 80 nucleotides in length. Their secondary structure includes four short double-helical elements and three loops (D, anti-codon, and T loops). Lineage: Eukaryota; Viridiplantae; Streptophyta; Magnoliopsida; Solanales; Convolvulaceae. The record is from Rfam by way of RNAcentral.
UCCGUUGUCUUCCAGCGGUUAGGAUAUCUGGCUUUCACCCAGGAGACCCGGGUUCAAUUCCCGGCAACGGAA